This 250-nucleotide ribosomal RNA is filed under the name uncultured bacterium. RNAcentral describes it as "partial 16S ribosomal RNA". It matches the Rfam family "Bacterial small subunit ribosomal RNA", at positions 524 to 773 of the family's 1533-position model. The record is from RNAcentral.
UACAGAGGGUGCAAGCGUUGUUCGGAAUUAUUGGGCGUAAAGGGAGUGUAGGCGGCUCGAUAAGUCUUCUGUGAAAUCUACGGGCUUAGCCUGUAACGUGCAGAGGAUACUGUCAGGCUAGAAUGUCGAAGAGGAGAGUGGAAUUCCCGGUGUAGAGGUGAAAUUCGUAGAGAUCGGGAGGAACACCAGUGGCGAAGGCGACUCUCUGGUUGACUAUUGACGCUGAGACUCGAAAGCAUGGGGAGCAAAC